This is a long non-coding RNA of Oncorhynchus keta (chum salmon), 3216 nucleotides long. RefSeq lists it as uncharacterized. The transcript has 3 exons. NCBI's taxonomy places the organism in Eukaryota, Metazoa, Chordata, Actinopteri, Salmoniformes, Salmonidae. The record is from RefSeq and is a predicted model, not a curated record.
AAACUUUAGACUUGUACUGUAUAUCUACUCUGAAAUUGUUUUGUGUGGAAUGUCCUUCAGUCAGCAGAGUUGAUUGGAAACUUUUGAAUAACGUUUAAAUAAUUGUGACCAAUGUUUUUUCCUCCGAACCAUCAUUAUUUCCUUUCAACCACACACUGGACACCAUGCAGGAGGUCCGAGUAAAUCAUCUAAAGCCUGCGGUGAUCAAGAUCUACAACUACUACCAGCCAAGUGACCAGGCAGAGACAGAAUAUGUCUUCCCUUGCAAGUAGGGGUUACAAACUGGUAAUCUAUUUAAAAUCUUGAAUUAAUGCUCAUUUUAGAUACGCUAUACAGUGCAUUAGGAAAGUAUUCAGACCCCUUCACUUUUUCCACAUUUUGUUACGUUACAGCCUAAUUCUAAAAUGUAUUAAAUUAACAUUUUUAACAUCAAUCUACAGACAAUAGACAAUGUCUUUGUUUCUCAAAUGACUGCCUCGCCUGAUUCACCAACUACUUCUCAGAUAGAGUUCAGAGUGUCAAAUCGGAGGGCCUGUUGUUCGAACCGCAAGCUGGAUGUAGUCUAUCAUAGUGCCAUUAGUUUUGUCACCAAAACCUCAUACACUACCCACCACUGCGACCUGUAUGCUCUCGUUGGCUGGCCCUCGCUUCAUAUUCGUUGCCAAACCCACUGGCUCCAGGUCAUCUAUAAGUCUUUGCUCGGUAAAGCCCCGCCUUAUCUCAGCUCACUGGUCACCAUAGCAGCACCCACCUGUAGCACGCGCUCCAGCAGGUAUAUUUCACUGGUCACUCCCAAAGCCAACUUCUCCUUUGGCCGCCUUUCCUUCCAGUUCUCUGCUGCCAAUGACUGGAAUGAAUUGCAAAAAUCACUGAAGCCUCAUAUCUCCCACACUAACUUUAAGCACCAGCUGUCAGAGCAGCUCACAGAUCACUGCACGUGUAAAUAGGCCAUCCAACUACCUCACCCCCAUACUGUUAUUUAUUUAUUUUGUUUUAUUUGCUCCUUUGCACCCCAGUAUCUCUACUUGCACAUUCAUGUUCUGCACAUCUAUCCCUCCAGUGUUUAAUUGCUGAAAUUGUAAUUAUUUCACCACUAUGGCCUAUUUAUUGCCUUACCUCCCUUAUCUUACCUCAUUUGUACACACUGUAUAUAGUAUUUUUAUAUUUUGUUACUGACUGUUUAUUCCAUGUGUAACUGUUGUUGUUUGUGUCGCACUGAUUUGCUUUUUCUUGGCCAGGUCGCAGUUGUAAAUGAGAACUUGUUCAACUAGCCUACCUGGUUAAAUAAAAGGUGAAUUUUAAAAAAACAUUUUUUUUUUAAACAAUACCCCAUAAUGACAAAGGUUUGCAAAUGUAUUACAAAUAAAAAACAGAUGCCAUAUAAGUAUUCAGACACUUUGCUAUGAGACUCGAAAUUGAGCUCAGGUGCAUCCUAUUUCAAUUGAUCCUUCGUGAGAUGUUUCUACAACUUGAUUGGAGUCCACCUGUGGUAAAUUAAAUUGCUUGGACAUGAUUUGGAAAGGCCCACAGUCUAUAUAAGGUCCCAUAGUUGACAGUGCAUUUUAGAGCAAAAACCAAGCCGUGAGGUCGAAAGUAUUGUCCGUACAGCUCUGAGACAGGAUUGAGUCGAGGCACAGAUCUGGGGAAGGGUACAAAUACAUUUCUGCAGCAUUGAAGGUCCCCAAGAACACAGUGGUCUUCAUCAUUCUUAAAUGGAAGAAGUUUGGAACCACCAAGACUAUUCCUAGAGCUCGCUGCCUGGCGAAAUAGAGCAAUCGGGGGAGAAGGGCCUUGGGUCAGGGAGGUGAUCAAGAACCAAUGGUCACUCUGACAGAGCACCAGAGUUCCUCUGUGGAGAUGGUUGUCCUUCUGGAAGGUUGUCCCAUCUCUGCAGCACUCCACCAAUCAGGCCUUUAUGGUAUAGUUGCCAGACGGAAGCCACUCCUCAGUAAUAGGCACAUGACAGCCCGCUUGGAGUAUGCCAAAAGUCACUUAAAUGACUCAGACCAUGAGAAACAAGAUUCUCUUGUCUGAUGAAACCAAGAUUGAACUCUUUGGCCUGAAUGCCAAGCAUCACGUCUGGAAGCAUGGUGGUUGCAACAUCAUGCUGUGGGUAUGUUUUUCAGCAGCAGGGACUGGGAGACUAGUCAGGAUUGAGGGAAAGAUGAACAGAGCAAAGCACAGAGAGAUCCUUGAUGAAAACCUGUUCAGCACCUCAGCCUGGGGCGAAGGUUCACCCAACUGGACAACAACCCUAAGCACACAGCCAAGACAAUGCAGGAGUGGCUUCGGGACCCGUAUCUGAAGGUCCGUGAUUGGCCCAGCCAGAGCCCGGAUUUGAACCCACCUAAAGUUAGCAAGAUGCUGCUGACAGAGAUUGUCGCCUCGCUUCGAGUCCUUAGAAAACUGUUACAUACGCCUCUAGGAAGAGGGAACGUAACACCCUGCUACAACUCAACUCUCCUUGGUGUGAAAGAGGUAUGGGACUGUAGGUGCGAGUAUGGAUGACAAAAGGCAGAGAAUUGACCGUUUACUAGGAAUGUAUUCCUUCACACAGUGAUACAGGGAAAAGGGGCUGGACGGAACCAAAGCAAAUAAAGUAAAUGUCAAAGCCCCCCUCCUAUCUUACCUGCCUACCCACUACUUAUCUAACUUAGCACCACCUGAUGCGCUAACCAAAAUACAGGGGGUGGUCCGCCCAGGUCUUACCUAGUGUGCAUAGACAGAGUAUAUACUACGGGUCUAUGUAUGCCCGCGGGCCUUUUGCCUAAGCACUCCCUAGGUGCCUUCGCCUUCCCCCCUGGGAACAAAUGAAACAGAAUAUUACAAACUACUUCACAAUGCACUGCACAAAACUAUUUGUGGAUUCAGCCAUUUCAGCCACACCCAUUACUGACAGGUGUAUAAAAUCGAACACACAGCCAUGCAAUCUCCGUAGAGAAACAUUGGCAGUAGAAUGGCCUUACUGAAGACCUCAGUGACUUUCAACGUCAUAGUAAUUUCAUACAAUUUCUGCUCUGCGAGAGCUGUCCCGGUCAACUGUAGGUGCUGCUGUUCUGAAGUGGAAACGUCUAGGAGCAACAACAGCUCAGCUGCAAAGUUUUAGGCCACACAAGGUCACAGAACAGGACCGCCGAGUGCUGAAAUGUAAGAAGAAAAUGACAUUCACCUGCAACCCUUGAGACAUCUUUCAAGCUCUAAAGUAAAUGAUGUAAC